Non-coding RNA from Clostridium sp. CAG:221, 211 nucleotides. NCBI's taxonomy places the organism in Bacteria, Bacillati, Bacillota, Clostridia, Eubacteriales, Clostridiaceae. The record is from Rfam.
GAGAACUAACAAUUUGAGAGAUGUAGAAUGAAGGAGUAACGUCCCGAAAUGCACCCCUAAUACUCCGACAUGCAGGAAUUUGGGUAGACAAUGAACUGUGUGGAGCUCGGUGAAGACGGCUGAGAGUACACCCUAACAUGGUAUCUAAGAUAGCAUAGAGGAAAAGCGAACCAGAGGUGGUCGAGUGUAUGAUAGGUCGGGGGUCCAUAAA